Molecule: non-coding RNA, 45 nt
Filed under: Echinostoma caproni
Lineage: Eukaryota; Metazoa; Platyhelminthes; Trematoda; Plagiorchiida; Echinostomatidae
Source: RNAcentral
GCACCGAUGACGAGUCUCAAACAGGACGAAACAGCUGUCCAGUGC